Molecule: long non-coding RNA, 360 nt
Filed under: Mustela putorius furo (domestic ferret)
Lineage: Eukaryota; Metazoa; Chordata; Mammalia; Carnivora; Mustelidae
Description: lncRNA (ENSMPUG00000029737.1)
Source: RNAcentral
GAACUCCUUAAAUUAUCACACGCAAUCUAUGUACUCUUAUUUUAGAUAAAUUCUAACAAGCUAUCUGUUACUCCAUCUAGCACAGGUCAGAAAUUGCAACGAGGAAGAUAUGCUUAUAGCACGGAGAAGCCAAUUGACCAUCUGGCAGUGGAGGAGGACACAGCAGACACAGCUCCAAUUCCACGUGUGGUUUCCAGAGCUAAUCGUCAUUAUCUGUGAUCACCGCUGGAUGGCCACCUUGUGCCCACCAAGAUUCUUUGGCAACAAAGUGAUCCCUUUUACUCAGAUCUGGAGGUAUUCCCUGGGGGCAUGUGUGCCAAGCCCCGGGAAAGCUGCCUGCUCUGAGAAACAUGGGAGAGG